GUUCUUGCUCCAGCAGUACAUACACUAAAAUUGCAAAGAUAAAGAUUAGCAUUGCCCCCGCACAAGGAUGACAUGCAAAUUCGUGAAACAUUCCAUAUUUUU
This 102-nucleotide small nuclear RNA is filed under the name Neotoma lepida (desert woodrat). The record is from RNAcentral. Lineage: Eukaryota; Metazoa; Chordata; Mammalia; Rodentia; Cricetidae.